UCAGAUUUUCACCGCUAAAUUUCAGUUUCCCUCUACAUCUCUAUUCUAAACCCUACUCCCUCCUUCCCCAAUUGCAAAACACUCCAUCUCACCAAAACUUCCAGUAGUUGCAGGUUUCAUGUUUCAAAACUUAUCGUUUUUCUUCAAUAUCAUGCCACCAUACAUCCACUUCCUCAACUUCUUCUAAUUAUCCACUUACUCCACCAAUACCACUUCAUCUCCCAAAAAAAACCUAAUAUUAAUCGAUUCCGUACACUUCACCAACACCUCAAUAAUCCUCACCGAACCCCUCCCCCUACCUGCACAUCCCCAUCACCCCAAAAACCGGCCGCAUCCUUUACAUCUGCAUCCUUCACAUCCUCAUCGUCCACCAAAAUUAAAAGCCUCUAAAUCUCUGAUAUAUUUUCUUUAUACUAGGCCCAAAAUUGAAAGGCCCAAUCCUUACUAUGAAACUGUGAAAGAAAUGUGAAACUGUGUUAAAGGCGGAUAAUGAAUCGGACAUUCAGACGUACGAAGCGAAUGAAUCGAUUAGGAAUUGAUUACCCUCGUAACCUGCGGCGUCUGUUGAGUAACCAUCUUGGAAUCAGAUUAGGGUUUACCCCUGUGUUGUCAACUACAUAUACGUAAGCCGCCCCCUGCUCUAAUACAGUAGCUUCAGGGCAAGAUGAUCGAGAUGUCUGGUUCACUGUUCAUCCAUCGUCCGUUCAAUGUGGAUCGAGUCAUAACACGUGGAUUGCUCAAAGGGAAAUUUCCAGUUCAUGGCUCAAAGGCAGUAACCUGUAUUUCAUACUUGUUUGCAACUCCAACAAGCUUUAAAGACUCCAUACUACAACCUAAACAAUCUUGUUUUCAUAAAAUGAACUUGAUUUUACAUUGCAGAUUUAUCAAAAUACGAAGUUGAUUUUGGGAUUCAAAAGGUGAAGAGAUGCAGAAAGGAGUUGAAGAAUUCAUGGAGCUGAGACAACAAAAGCAAAACAAAGAAGAAAAAACAGCCGGUGGUGCUAGUUGACUUUAUUCGUCUAUUUGGAACCGUAAAAGUUGGGCCUCGCGUUUGUCUUCUUCAAAAAGUGGUGAUUUUGAUUCAGGUGAACUAGCUGUGGCAUUUGGUGUUAAUGUUACUUUGCACUUGAGAAGUAGUAGAGGAAGCAAUAAGCAAGUGGGGAUGGGCAAACUGUCUCCGAAAGAGAAAACGUCGAAAUUCUCAAAGCCGAGAGGCGGAUGAAUCUCUUGCUCAUAUUUGAAAUAGCAAAGUGUCAACUUCAAUGUCGUGUAUAGAUAUUGGGAAGGGAAUAGUUGAUGCUAUGGUGCAGAGAAUAUUGUGUUUCAGAAAUAAUGUGCCAAUGGCAUACCUACUCCACCAGCACACCCAAGAUAUAGUCAUGUGGCUGGACCGCUUGAUAUGGUCAAGGGGAAUAAUUUAAUAAGAACACCCAAGAUGCAACACCCUAAUGGAGAUGUGUUUGAUUAUGAGAACACCUCUGCAAAUGUUGAAGCUGCGAAAGAAUGGAGAGAAAGAAGAGAUGAAUUUGGGAAGAAAGUGGGAAGGUGUGUGAGGAAAUCACAAGAAUUCAUGUAAAACAGGUUAAAGGAUGUGGAGAAGCAUCUUGUGACUCCAUAUUCUCAUCAUUAAUCCGGAGAUACAUGUUGGACAUCAUGUCUGUUUGUCUUUCGGUCCUGGCUGGGUUUAUACUGAAUUCUUGAUGAAGAUGAAUAAUGACACCUUGUAUAAUAUAUUGGCAGAAUGUUUAGCACUUUAGUGGUAUACGUAGGUUUCCUUAUUCUUUAUCAUUUUUUUGUUUUAUAGUAGAAAAAUGUGAUUAUGAUGUUAUAGGGUUGCCUACUACAUGUUUAUUUCAAGUUUGGGGUGAUAUUUAUCAUGGGGCAGCUUUUUCUGGAUGAUUUUAGAGGAGGGUUUGAGAAUGGGCCGUGGUGGAUUACCAUCACAACAUGGCUGCUGGUAUUAAAUCUAGGUUCGACUAGACUAGUCUUCUGGUGUCAUGGUUAAUGAAGUAAGCCGGCAAUAUCAUAAAGGAGCUAGCUCAAAAGCACACUAGGAGUCUCUUCAGCUCUACGUGCCGGUUCUUCGACAACAUUCCUAUCCCCUUCAUCUUCUCUGAGAGCAGGCGAGUGAUCACCAUUUCUGAAAUCGGAGGAACUAGAAUCAUUCAAAGACAAGAAAGAAUUAGAAGCAAAACCUGUGAGUUAUUUGUACCCGUUUUCCAUUUGGUAUUUGCAUUGGCGAGCAUGUAUUCGGGCAUGCUUUUAUUGGGAUGGAGCAGUUCAGAAGCUUGGAUCUCAUUGAUGUCGGGUGACUGGUCAUCGAUUUUGCAAUCAAAUCUUGGAGCAUUUAUUCCACAGGCAAAACAAGUGGAUAUAAAUUUGCAACACUUUCAAGUCUAAAAGCAGUGAGUAUAUGGAUUCGAAGACAACAACCUAGAAUUAGUUCUUAGUUUAUGUGUAGAGGCAUUCCGUUUGAAACUUUUGUAGAUAGGUUUUGAUUAGAAGUUCAUGUUUUUAAUUAGUAUUGAAAUUGAAAACUUAUGUAUGGAUUUUGGUUUAUUAUUGUUAAUUAAUAUUAUUUGGUUUUUAUA
Molecule: long non-coding RNA, 2591 nt
Organism: Helianthus annuus (common sunflower)
Lineage: Eukaryota; Viridiplantae; Streptophyta; Magnoliopsida; Asterales; Asteraceae
Exons: 8
Source: RefSeq, a predicted model, not a curated record